UGAGGAAUAUUGGUCAAUGGACGCAAGUCUGAACCAGCCAUGCCGCGUGCAGGAAGACGGCUCUAUGAGUUGUAAACUGCUUUUGUACGAGGGUAAACUCACCUACGUGUAGGUGACUGAAAGUAUCGUACGAAUAAGGAUCGGCUAACUCCGUGCCAGCAGCCGCGGUAAUACGGAGGAUUCAAGCGUUAUCCGGAUUUAUUGGGUUUAAAGGGUGCGUAGGCGGUUUGAUAAGUUAGAGGUGAAAUCCCGGGGCUUAACUCCGGAACUGCCUCUAAUACUGUUAGACUAGAGAGUAGUUGCGGUAGGCGGAAUGUAUGGUGUAGCGGUGAAAUGCUUAGAGAUCAUACAGAACACCGAUUGCGAAGGCAGCUUACCAAACUAUAUCUGACGUUGAGGCACGAAAGCGUGGGGAGCAAACA
RNAcentral lists this ribosomal RNA (422 nucleotides) under uncultured bacterium. Its description in RNAcentral is "bacterial SSU rRNA". It matches the Rfam family "Bacterial small subunit ribosomal RNA", at positions 355 to 774 of the family's 1533-position model. The record is from RNAcentral. RNAcentral also lists the same sequence under 1 other name.